Daphnia carinata is the source of this 505-nucleotide long non-coding RNA. RefSeq lists it as uncharacterized. The transcript has 3 exons. The record is from RefSeq and is a predicted model, not a curated record. Lineage: Eukaryota; Metazoa; Arthropoda; Branchiopoda; Diplostraca; Daphniidae.
AUUGAAGUAAUCACCGUGUUUAUCGUUAGUGAAUCUGUUCCUUCAGACCGCCGUGAACUAAAUUGCAGGAAACUUGUGUAGUGUGAUCCCAUAGUUUGAGUGGCAAACACUGUCUCUCGUGCUAUCUCAGACACCACACGCUGAUACACACUUGCAAAUACUGGUCAUUAAUACAAGUCAAUUCUACUCGCUGCAUACAACAGCGAAGUCGCAACUCUACGAACUUCUGAGUUCCCCUUAUUUCGAGCUACGAAACAAGGAAGUUUAAUGUGAAACCAAUUUACUGAUACAUAGUUUGUUAGCUAUUGUGUAUUAUUUUUAUUCCAUUUUCAAAAUUGAUAGCCUUUUUAUUAAAGGUACAAGUUAGGAUUGUUACGCAACGUUAUCUAUGCAACUGGAUCUCCGAAUAUCCUGUAUCCAUACAGAAAAUCUUGGACGUAAACUACCUCACGUGAAUACGGCAUUGAGAAGCUUCCAAAUCUGAUGAAAUUACUAUCUUCCAUCA